RNAcentral lists this long non-coding RNA (636 nucleotides) under Arabidopsis lyrata. RNAcentral describes it as "long non-coding RNA (ALYR_LNC001143)". Lineage: Eukaryota; Viridiplantae; Streptophyta; Magnoliopsida; Brassicales; Brassicaceae. The record is from RNAcentral.
AUGCUCUUCAAUUACAUUUUUUUUUUGGUGAGCAUGCUCUUCAAUUACAUAGUGUGUUAGUAUUUAUUAUCUGCAUGCAUUGAUUAUAGGAUAUAUUCUAUUUAUCUUAAAUGUUGUUUCUAUCAAAACCAAAAACAACAUAAAAAAACAUCAUAUUUCUAAAAUAUAUCUGAGCAGAGCCGGCCAUGAGGCCAAGCAAGGCAAGCUUGUGUUUGCGGCCCCAAAUCCCCCAUAUAUAUAAUCGGCCACAUUUUUAACAAUAAUGUUCAAGUAGUCUAGUGGUUUUAAGUGUGUUAUAAUGUGUGCAGAUGACCAAUUCGAAUCCACUAACUCUGUUUUCAAUGUUUUUUUUUUUUUUUUCAUUUUUAAUUUUUUCUUACAAAUCAUAGGUUUAAUAUUAUUUUUUGUUGCUUGUGGCCUUCAAAUUCUCAGGGACGGCUCUGUAUCUCAGUGAUGGACAAACCAAACGUAGAUUAGUGAAAGAAAAUGCUCAAAACCCUAAGUCUUCUAUCGUGACGAAGUAGAACUCGCAAAAACGGGAAAUCGUCGAAGAAAAGAAAUCCAAAACUUAUUUUAUUGGAAUCAAAUCUAUCACGAGAAGACGUUUGACAUCUCAAUCGUUAUAAAUUUCAAUAA